RNA transcript from Cyprinus carpio (common carp), 2094 nucleotides. RefSeq lists it as uncharacterized. The record is from RefSeq and is a predicted model, not a curated record. Lineage: Eukaryota; Metazoa; Chordata; Actinopteri; Cypriniformes; Cyprinidae. The transcript has 6 exons.
CACCUUUAAAAGUGAAAGUUUCCAGAGUUUGGUGGCUCUGCACCAUGAAAGAGGCUAAAAACACAGGAUGCAGAAUGCAGGGCCUUGUCUGAAGAAAAGCAAGGGGUUAAAAUCCCUGAACUCUCUUCCCUGGACACAUUCACAGCAUCCGGUGUGUCCAACCAUUAAAUCCUGUCCUCAUCUCUGCUAAGACAGACGGAUAGCCAGACGAGCCAAUCACAGCCUACAGCUGCCCCACAGCCAUCCAAUAGCAGUCCAGGAAAGGAGCAGGAGAUUACUGGAUCACACAGCUUGGGUUUGUAGCAUCCUUGUAGCUCUUCUCGUUUCGCCCUUUGAAUAAAAUGCUAUGAAAGAAAACCAGAAGACAGCUGAGAAGCAAGAAACGAGACGUGAUUUUGUACAGAGGGAGAAUGUGGUGAAAGUAGGGACCCAGAGGGGGAAAAACCUUUCAGUUUACAGCCUCUCAGCUGCUCUGUUCUAGCUGAGGAACGAAGGAGGAGGGGUGAAAGGAGAAAUUCCCUCUCCUUUUUUCCAUCGGCUGCCUGGAAAACCUUGGAAGGACAUCAGCCGUGGCCACAUCUCUCCACGAAUAGGAUUCUUAGGAGUUUAGGAUCAACAUGAGCAUCAUGGCCGAGGUCUGCUGGAGGUCUGAAUCACAGUAGGGUUGUCUUCAAAAAGCACCCGGCUCGCCUCCACAACGGUGUCCUGCAAGAACCAUGUCUCUGACCACCACCAAACCUGAUAUGUUCACCUCCACCCAAACCCUGACCCCGUUCCCGACCCCCACUCUCUCCCUCACCGCCUUCACUCCUAUUCUCACAAGUUCAGCAGAGCCCAGAACUGAGCCAGAAAACGUAACGUCCAGGACCACCUUCCGCUCCAUCACGUCGUCCGCCAACGAGACCGGCCUGAACUCCACACAGCUGCCCAUGGCUUCAGUGGGAGGCGCCGGAAUGGGGAUGGUGCUCGUGCCCUUUGGUAUCAUCACAGUUAUUGGGCUGGCUGUUGUCGUGCUUCUGUACAUCAGGAAAAAGAAAAGACUGGAGAAACUGAGACACCAGCUGAUGCCCAUGUAUAACUUUGAUCCAGCUGAAGAACAAGAUGAUCUAGAGCAGGAACUCUUGGAUCACGGACGAGACGGAAGCCCAGUAGGACCAAACUCCAAAGUAAGAGCACAACACCACACGGUUCAAAGGCAAAGACAUACAAACCAUCGAAAAUGUUGCUGAUUCUAAACUAAAAUGGUUAUUUAUUAUUAUUUUUUAGAUUGAUAGACUGAUUGAUGGAUAGAUUGAUAGAUUUUGUGAGACCUGAAGGAGUUUUCUAACUGUUGUAACGUUUAUGUGAAAUAUCUAAUUCAGGAAUUUUGUAUGAUCCCUCUUAUUUUGUUAAAGUAAGAUACUGCACUAUAUACAGAUACUGCAAACUGUAUAAUAUAUAAUGAUAAUAAAACUGGAAGUUUUUUAUGGAAUUUAUUACAAAACUAAGACAGCAUGGUGAGUCUCUCAAAAUAAUUUAUGCCAUACUUUUUGAAUGUUAUUUCUUAAUUUCGAUUUCUUCCAUUCUCAUUUCUCUUAAGUUCUGACACCAGGCCAUGUGGUUUGUUAUUUGUGACACUGACCACAAAUCAGGGAACAGCUCAAAAACCCAGUCGACUUGUUUUCACUGACGUGGCUGAUGCCAUUAAUGCAUGACGACACUCACAUGCUGCACAGAAAGACAGGGACACAGAAAUCUGGACAACUGGACGUCAGGAUUCAGGAAUAUUUGUAUUCAUAUUUGGUACGAUACUGGAUUAAUUGCUGCUUUUGUAGUUAUUAAUUUCUUAAGCAAAAGUUACGACACGAAGUGUUAAAGGAAUAUCUCACUCCAAAAUGAUAAAUAAGAUGAAACUUGACUCACCCUCAGGCCAUCCAAGAUGUCUAGUUUGUUUUUUCAUGGGAACAGAUUUCAAGCCAAAAUCUCCAUCAAGGCUUUUUAACUUUAAAUCGUCACUUUUAGCCAAAAUGUGUCAAAAUGAAUUAUGAAUCCAUAAUUCAUAAUAACACUUCAUCCAGUGAAAAAGUCCAUCCCCUAUCCCCACUGACAUAUUUG